AUAUCGAAAUGCCAACGUUCAUAAAGUUAAGGAAACACCUUGGAAAUCGAUUUAUCCAAAAAUACCACGCUUCUUUCCGAAUUCAACGUGGAGAGGGAUCGACAUCGCAUGCAUCAGCCGCGAAGUCGGCAUUCUCAAUCGCAUUCAAACUAACGAACAAACGAUCGCCGGCAAACUUAAAUUCGGUGAGGUUAGUUGGAUUUGUCGUGGUGUUUUUUACAAAUCAAUAAUCAAUUGUAAUACGUUUUUUAAUAAGUGAAACAAACAGUUAA
Anthonomus grandis grandis is the source of this 272-nucleotide long non-coding RNA. RefSeq lists it as uncharacterized. Lineage: Eukaryota; Metazoa; Arthropoda; Insecta; Coleoptera; Curculionidae. The record is from RefSeq and is a predicted model, not a curated record. The transcript is spliced from 2 exons.